AGAAAGGUAAGCUAAAUAAGCUACCAGGUUCAUACCCUGUUUAUAGAGGUUAGUUAUCCUCUCCUCUCUA
Molecule: transfer RNA, 70 nt
Filed under: Neojurtina typica
Lineage: Eukaryota; Metazoa; Arthropoda; Insecta; Hemiptera; Pentatomidae
Description: tRNA-Met
Rfam family: tRNA
About the family: Transfer RNA (tRNA) molecules are approximately 80 nucleotides in length. Their secondary structure includes four short double-helical elements and three loops (D, anti-codon, and T loops).
Source: RNAcentral